This 431-nucleotide ribosomal RNA is filed under the name uncultured bacterium. Its description in RNAcentral is "partial 16S ribosomal RNA". It matches the Rfam family "Bacterial small subunit ribosomal RNA", at positions 29 to 507 of the family's 1533-position model. The record is from RNAcentral.
AACGAACGCUGGCGGCAGGCUUAACACAUGCAAGUCGAACGCCCCGCAAGGGGAGUGGCAGACGGGUGAGUAACGCGUGAGAACAUACCCUUUUCUACGGAAUAGCUCUGGGAAACUGGAAUUAAUACCGUAUACGCCCUACGGGGGAAAGAUUUAUCGGGGAAGGAUUGGCCCGCGUUGGAUUAGCUAGUUGGUGGGGUAAAGGCCUACCAAGGCGACGAUCCAUAGCUGGUCUGAGAGGAUGAUCAGCCACAUUGGGACUGAGACACGGCCCAAACUCCUACGGGAGGCAGCAGUGGGGAAUAUUGGACAAUGGGCGCAAGCCUGAUCCAGCCAUGCCGCGUGAGUGAUGAAGGCCUUAGGGUUGUAAAGCUCUUUCACCGAUGAAGAUAAUGACGGUAGUCGGAGAAGAAGCCCCGGCUAACUUCGUG